This 72-nucleotide transfer RNA is filed under the name Camelus dromedarius (Arabian camel). It matches the Rfam family "tRNA". From Rfam's summary of the family: Transfer RNA (tRNA) molecules are approximately 80 nucleotides in length. Their secondary structure includes four short double-helical elements and three loops (D, anti-codon, and T loops). The record is from Rfam by way of RNAcentral. RNAcentral also lists the same sequence under 1 other name. Lineage: Eukaryota; Metazoa; Chordata; Mammalia; Artiodactyla; Camelidae.
GCGGGUAUAGCUCAGUGGUACAGCCCAUGCCUAGCAUGCACGAGGUCCUGGGUUCACUCCCUAGUACUUCCG